UGUCAGAUUUUUUUUUUUUUUUUUUUUGAGAGAUAGAUAGCACUCUACCCGUUUUAUUUAUUUUAUUUAGAAAAUAAAAUAAACUUAGCUGGAAAUAUGAAUCGACUAGGAUUCAAGCUUGGGACCUCGGGUACAAAUCGUCAAAUCUUUUGCCACUUGCUCUAGGGACGGUCGGUCUGACCGGCAAAUAUUGCAACUAAGUUAAGAACGACUAGUAAGUAAAAUUAACUUGACCUGUUAUUUUU
Molecule: long non-coding RNA, 245 nt
Filed under: Ananas comosus (pineapple)
Lineage: Eukaryota; Viridiplantae; Streptophyta; Magnoliopsida; Poales; Bromeliaceae
Description: long non-coding RNA (ACOM_LNC006467)
Source: RNAcentral